UACGUAGGGAGCAAGCGUUGUCCGGAAUCAUUGGGCGUAAAGCGCGCGUAGGCGGCCCCGUAAGUCCGCUGUGAAAGUCAAAGGCUCAACCUUUGAAAGCCGGUGGAUACUGUGGGGCUAGAGUCCGGAAGAGGCGAGUGGAAUUCCUGGUGUGGCGGUGGAAUGCGCAGAUAUCAGGAGGAACACCAAUAGCGAAGGCAGCUCGCUGGGACGGUACUGACGCUAAGGCGCGAAAGCGUGGGGAGCGAACAGG
This 253-nucleotide ribosomal RNA is filed under the name uncultured bacterium. Its description in RNAcentral is "partial 16S ribosomal RNA". It matches the Rfam family "Bacterial small subunit ribosomal RNA", at positions 524 to 776 of the family's 1533-position model. The record is from RNAcentral.